AUAUUUAAGUGAAGAAGCUUAAAUUUUAUUAAAAGACAAGAAGACCCUAAUGAUUUUUAUUUUUAUACUAUAUAUAUAAAGUUUUAAAUUAUUUUAUAAAAUAUAUAAAAUUUUACUGGGGCGGUAAUAAAAUAAUAAUAAACUUUUAUAUAAAUAUGAUAUAUAUCUUUUUUAUGAUCCUAAAAAGAUUAAAAGUAAAAAAUACCAUAGGGAUAACAGGCUAAUUAAUUUAGAUAGUUUAUAUUGAAAAAUUAGA
RNAcentral lists this ribosomal RNA (256 nucleotides) under Tomopteris sp. USNM IZ 1163619. Its description in RNAcentral is "partial large subunit ribosomal RNA". The record is from RNAcentral. Lineage: Eukaryota; Metazoa; Annelida; Polychaeta; Phyllodocida; Tomopteridae.